ACUCAAAUGAAUAGACGGGGACCCGCACAAGCGGUGGAUGAUGUGGAUUAAUUCGAUGCAACGCGAAAAACCUUACCUACCCUUGACAUGGUUCAAAUCUGCAAGAGAUUGCGGAGUGCUCGCAAGAGAAUGGAUACACAGGUGCUGCAUGGCUGUCGUCAGCUCGUGUCGUGAGAUGUUGGGUUAAGUCCCGCAACGAGCGCAACCCUUAUCAUUAAUUGCCAUCAUUAGGUUGGGCACUUUAAUGAGACUGCCGGUGACAAACCGGAGGAAGGUGGGGAUGACGUCAAGUCCUCAUGGCCCUUAUGGGUAGGGCUUCACACGUCAUACAAUGGUGCAUACAGAGGGAAGCGAAGUCGCGAGGCGGAGCCAAUCUCAAAAAGUGCAUCGUAGUCCGGAUUGGAGUCUGCAACUCGACUCCAUGAAGUUGGAAUCGCUAGUAAUCGCGGAUCAGCAUGCUGCGGUGAAUACGUUCCCGGGUCUUGUACACACCGCCCGU
RNAcentral lists this ribosomal RNA (499 nucleotides) under uncultured bacterium. Its description in RNAcentral is "partial 16S ribosomal RNA". It matches the Rfam family "Bacterial small subunit ribosomal RNA", at positions 899 to 1397 of the family's 1533-position model. The record is from RNAcentral.